This 199-nucleotide long non-coding RNA is filed under the name Gossypium raimondii (Peruvian cotton). RNAcentral's name for it is "long non-coding RNA (GRAI_LNC008248)". Lineage: Eukaryota; Viridiplantae; Streptophyta; Magnoliopsida; Malvales; Malvaceae. The record is from RNAcentral.
UCUUUCCAUCAAUUUCAUUUUCCUUAUUUUCUAACUUACUUAUUUUAUUUUUUCUUGAAUUUUUCUAACUUUGACUAUCAAAUUUCAAAUUCAAGAAAGCACAUCUAAGCACUCGGAUGACCUUAGGAAACCAUCAGCUCUAUUCGAACUCCAUCUUUUCUUCCUAAGUCAAUUCUUUUGUUUCUUAUUUUUAAAUUUU